GAUGAACGCUAGCGGCAGGCCUAAUACAUGCAAGUCGGACGGGAUCCAUUGAUAGCUUGCUAUCUAUGGUGAGAGUGGCGCACGGGUGCGUAACGCGUGAGCAACCUGCCUCCAUCAGGGGGAUAGCCUCUCGAAAGAGAGAUUAACACCCCAUAAUAUCAACAGUUCGCAUGUUCAGUUGAUUAAUUAUUUAUAGGAUGGAGAUGGGCUCGCGUGACAUUAGCUAGUUGGUAGGGGAACGGCUUACCAAGGCGACGAUGUUUAGGGGCUCGGAGAGGAGAAUCCCCCAGACUGGUACUGAGACACGGACCAGACUGCUACGGGAGGGAGCAGAAAGGAAUAUUGGUCAAUGGGCGGAAGCCUGAACCAGCCAUGCCGCGUGCAGGAUGACUGCGCUAUGGGUUGUAAACUGCUUUUGACCAGGAAUAAACCUAAAUACGAGUAUUUAGCUGAAGGUACUGGAAGAAUAAGGAUCGGCUAACUCCGUG
Molecule: ribosomal RNA, 488 nt
Filed under: uncultured bacterium
Lineage: Bacteria
Description: partial 16S ribosomal RNA
Rfam family: Bacterial small subunit ribosomal RNA
Source: RNAcentral